RNAcentral lists this transfer RNA (72 nucleotides) under Ovis aries (sheep). It matches the Rfam family "tRNA". From Rfam's summary of the family: Transfer RNA (tRNA) molecules are approximately 80 nucleotides in length. Their secondary structure includes four short double-helical elements and three loops (D, anti-codon, and T loops). Lineage: Eukaryota; Metazoa; Chordata; Mammalia; Artiodactyla; Bovidae. The record is from Rfam by way of RNAcentral.
UUCCUGGUGGUCUAAUGGUUAAGCAUCUGCCUUGCGAUGCAGAGGACGCAGGUUCAACCCCUGGUCAGGGAA